RNAcentral lists this ribosomal RNA (465 nucleotides) under Vreelandella stevensii. Its description in RNAcentral is "partial 16S ribosomal RNA". It matches the Rfam family "Bacterial small subunit ribosomal RNA", at positions 338 to 795 of the family's 1533-position model. Lineage: Bacteria; Pseudomonadati; Pseudomonadota; Gammaproteobacteria; Oceanospirillales; Halomonadaceae. The record is from RNAcentral.
CCUACGGGUGGCUGCAGUGGGGAAUAUUGGACAAUGGGCGAAAGCCUGAUCCAGCCAUGCCGCGUGUGUGAAGAAGGCCUUCGGGUUGUAAAGCACUUUCAGUGGGGAAGAAAGCCUUGGGGCUAAUACCCUCGAGGAAGGACAUCACCCACAGAAGAAGCACCGGCUAACUCCGUGCCAGCAGCCGCGGUAAUACGGAGGGUGCGAGCGUUAAUCGGAAUUACUGGGCGUAAAGCGCGCGUAGGCGGUCUGAUAAGCCGGUUGUGAAAGCCCCGGGCUCAACCUGGGAACGGCAUCCGGAACUGUCAGGCUAGAGUGCAGGAGAGGAAGGUAGAAUUCCCGGUGUAGCGGUGAAAUGCGUAGAGAUCGGGAGGAAUACCAGUGGCGAAUGCGGUCUUCUGGACUGACACUGACGCUGAGGUGCGAAAGCGUGGGUAGCAAACAGGAUUAGAUACCCGAGUAGUC